GUUAACGAACGAGACCUCAGC
Molecule: non-coding RNA, 21 nt
Filed under: Arabidopsis thaliana (thale cress)
Lineage: Eukaryota; Viridiplantae; Streptophyta; Magnoliopsida; Brassicales; Brassicaceae
Source: RNAcentral